RNAcentral lists this ribosomal RNA (489 nucleotides) under uncultured bacterium. Its description in RNAcentral is "bacterial SSU rRNA". It matches the Rfam family "Bacterial small subunit ribosomal RNA", at positions 30 to 518 of the family's 1533-position model. The record is from RNAcentral.
UGAACGCUGGCGGCGUGCCUAACACAUGCAAGUCGAACGAAGCACGUAGACGGAACCUUCGGGUGACGUAUGGUGACUGAGUGGCGGACGGGUGAGUAACGCGUGGGUAACCUGCCCUGUACAGGGGGAUAACAGUUAGAAAUGACUGCUAAUACCGCAUAAGCGCACGAUGGUAGCAUUACCAGGUGUGAAAAACUCCGGUGGUACAGGAUGGGCCCGCGUCUGAUUAGCUAGUUGGCGGGGUAAGAGCCCACCAAGGCGACGAUCAGUAGCCGGUCUGAGAGGAUGAACGGCCACAUUGGAACUGAGACACGGUCCAAACUCCUACGGGAGGCAGCAGUGGGGAAUAUUGCACAAUGGGGGGAACCCUGAUGCAGCAAAACCGCCGCGUGAGUGAAGAAGUAUUUCGGUAUGUAAAGCUCUAUCAGCAGGGAAGAUAAUGACGGUACCUGACUAAGAAGCUCCGGCUAAAUACGUGCCAGCAGCUGC